GCCGCUUUAGCUCAGCUGGUAGAGCAUCGCAUUCGUAAUGCGGGGGUCGCGUGUUCGAGUCACGCAAGCGGCACCA
This 76-nucleotide transfer RNA is filed under the name Brevundimonas sp. Leaf363. Its description in RNAcentral is "tRNA-Thr". It matches the Rfam family "tRNA". Rfam says of the family: Transfer RNA (tRNA) molecules are approximately 80 nucleotides in length. Their secondary structure includes four short double-helical elements and three loops (D, anti-codon, and T loops). Further hydrogen bonds mediate the characteristic L-shaped molecular structure. tRNAs have two regions of fundamental functional importance: the anti-codon, which is responsible for specific mRNA codon recognition, and the 3' end, to which the tRNAs corresponding amino acid is attached (by aminoacyl-tRNA synthetases). tRNAs cope with the degeneracy of the genetic code in two manners: having more than one tRNA (with a specific anti-codon) for a particular amino acid; and 'wobble' base-pairing, i.e. permitting non-standard base-pairing at the 3rd anti-codon position. The record is from RNAcentral. Lineage: Bacteria; Pseudomonadati; Pseudomonadota; Alphaproteobacteria; Caulobacterales; Caulobacteraceae. RNAcentral also lists the same sequence under 4 other names.